RNAcentral lists this ribosomal RNA (305 nucleotides) under uncultured bacterium. RNAcentral describes it as "bacterial SSU rRNA". It matches the Rfam family "Bacterial small subunit ribosomal RNA", at positions 333 to 654 of the family's 1533-position model. The record is from RNAcentral.
UUUCGCCUACGGGGGGCAGCAGUGGGGAAUAUUGCGCAAUGGGGGAAACCCUGACGCAGCAACGCCGCGUGAGUGAAGAAGGCCUUCGGGUUGUAAAGCUCUUUAAUCAGGGACGAAGAAUGACGGUACCUGAAGAAUAAGCCACGGCUAACUACGUGCCAGCAGCCGCGGUAAUACGUAGGUGGCAAGCGUUGUCCGGAUUUACUGGGUGUAAAGGGCGUGCAGCCGGAGAGACAAGUCAGAUGUGAAAUCCACGGGCUCAACCCGUGAACUGCAUUUGAAACUGUUUCCCUUGAGUGUCGUAG